UUUUGCUUUAAUUUAUUUCUCGCACAGGUUGUGUAAGUAUGCAGUAGAUUGCAGCGAGAAAAUGCAAUGCGCGUUUACAUCCUUAUUUCCUCUUCCUCAUCCUCCAAAGCUCGGAAUUAGAAAUUCACAGUUACCAAUUGGCGCUCAAAGACAAACCCAUCUUCAGAGCAACUUUGAAAACUUCAAUGGUGAAUUGUCAGUGGGUGUGAAUAUACCUCUGCCUUCCCAUGUGAAAUCCAUUACAAGCACUUCAAACCCAUUUGUGAAACACUGUCUCAAGCUUCGCAACAGCUCUUCUUAUCGCCAUUCGCAUGGUGCAGUUCUUGUUGUGGGUUCUACCCCUAUCAGGGAGAUAUACAGAUUUCAGGAGACAUUACAAGAGAAAACUGUCAGAUUGAUUUGUUUACUUGUACUUGAUAAAGCUGAAAUACUUGAAGAGAUAGAUGCUCGUUCUGUUCGCAUUGUUCGUGUGAGCCCUAUGGUAAUGAAAAAACUUUCUGGGGUGCAAUCAACUGAAUCAAUUGAAGCAAUUGCCCUAAUGAGAAUCCCAACCAGUUAUCUCCAUUUAAAUGGUGACAAAGAAGAAGCACAUUCUGAGGGAUGGUUCCCAUCUCCUCAUCGAAUUCUAGUCCUUGAUGGAAUCCAGGACCCAGGCAACCUUGGUACUAUACUCAGAUCAGCCAUGGCCUUUAGAUGGGGUGGUGUUUUUCUGCUUCCUGGCUGUUGUGAUCCAUUCAAUGAGAAAGCACUACGAGCGAGCCGAGGUGCCUGUUUUCAGUUCCCAAUAGUUUGUGGCUGUUGGAUUCAUCUUGAAGCCCUUAAAAGCAAAUUUCAAAUGAAAAUGCUAGCUGGUCAUCCAGAGAGUAAUGCAGAACUGAAGUCAGUGUUUCAACUAACUCAUGAAUUUGCAGAUUCUUUAGUACAUGUUCCAUUGUGCCUGAUUUUGGGCAGUGAAGGGAGUGGCCUGUCAGAGAAAUCUCAUCAGGAAUGUGAGCUGGUGAGCAUUCCAAUGGCAGGAGAGUCUGACUCUCUCAAUGUUUCAGUUGCAGGUGGGAUUUUCUUGUAUAUGCUACAGCCUAGAAUAUAGAGAUUGAAUCUGAUUCUAUAUAUUUCAUUCUAAAAAUGCUCAAUUGUUCACCAAUCAAAAACUAGCCGUAGGGUCUAACUUGUAAAACCCUCAACGGCUUUAUGCUAUCACCAAAUAGAAAAUCUUGCGUUGUUCCCAAGAAGGUUUUGCAUCUUCAAUGGUAAGAUAACAAGCAGCUAGGUUGCUUGGAAAUUGGGACUGUCCAUAUCAUGCAAAUUUUCCAUAGAAAGUGCUAGAUGAUAACGCAGCUACCAAGUAGCAUAUGACUUCUGUAAAUAUAGUGUUGAGAAACAAAAAGGAAUCACUUAGUUGAGUUGGGACUGUGGAAGGAAACUGGUUACUAAAAGCUAUCUUUUUCAGAUUGGCUUUGGCUUUGGCUGUAUAAAAUAAGCAGAUUACUGAUAUUCCUAAUUCCUAUGAAAAACUAGACAUACGCAAAUUGCACGGUUGAUGCUGAUUGAUCCAGUAUUUGGGUGUUCCAAUGAUAUGCUCUACAUUUCCAACCUUUUUUUCCUUGAUCAAAAAACUUGUGGGGCAUUUUUAUUUUCUUCACUAGAUGAUAACGAUGGAGCACCAAGAAUUGCAUCUCAAAUGAUCCCCCCCCAAAAAAAAAAAAAAAGGGGUUUUGGGGGAGGCAUGUCAGUUGUCAUAAAGCUCUGGGCCAGGUCGUAAUUGGUUUGCAAAUGGAGCAAAUGAAGAUGGGUUUCUUUUUGUUUUUGUUGGGCCCCAAACAAAAGUGAUGCUGAUUAUCCUACCGAAUGAGGAUAAACUUCAGCCAACUUGUCCCCCCCAAUGAGGGAAUCAUUGUGUUCAGAUCAUGGAGUGGUCAUCGGCUAUUGGGUAUUAAAUAAACAACCGGUGGAUAACUGGUUGCUAGUACAUGAAAUACUUUCUCUUUCCCAAAGGAUUCAAAUUGAGAUUGAUAAAUAAA
Ziziphus jujuba (common jujube) is the source of this 2018-nucleotide RNA transcript. RefSeq lists it as uncharacterized. The transcript is spliced from 5 exons. Lineage: Eukaryota; Viridiplantae; Streptophyta; Magnoliopsida; Rosales; Rhamnaceae. The record is from RefSeq and is a predicted model, not a curated record.